Molecule: ribosomal RNA, 796 nt
Filed under: uncultured archaeon
Lineage: Archaea
Description: bacterial SSU rRNA
Rfam family: Archaeal small subunit ribosomal RNA
Source: RNAcentral
ACUGCUCAGUAACACGUGGAUAACCUGCCCUUGGGUCCGGCAUAACCCCGGGAAACUGGGGAUAAUUCCGGAUAACGCAUAUGUGCUGGAAUGCUUUAUGCGUCAAAUGGAUUCGUCUGCCCAAGGAUGGGUCUGCGGCCUAUCAGGUAGUAGUGGGUGUAAUGUACCUACUAGCCGACAACGGGUACGGGUUGUGAGAGCAAGAGCCCGGAGAUGGAUUCUGAGACAUGAAUCCAGGCCCUACGGGGCGCAGCAGGCGCGAAAACUUUACCAUGCGGGAAACCGUGAUAAGGGGACACCGAGUGUCAGCAUCAUAUGCUGGCUGUCCAGGUGUGUAAAAUACACCUGUUAGCAAGGGCCGGGCAAGACCGGUGCCAGCCGCCGCGGUAACACCGGCGGCCCGAGUGGUGAUCGUGAUUAUUGGGUCUAAAGGGUCCGUAGCCGGUUUGGUCAGUCCUCCGGGAAAUCUGAUAGCUCAACUAUUAGGCUAUCGGGGGAUACUACCAGACUUGGAACCGGGAGAGGUAAGAGGUACUACAGGGGUAGGAGUGAAAUCUUGUAAUCCCUGUGGGACCACCUGUGGCGAAGGCGUCUUACCAGAACGGGUUCGACGGUGAGGGACGAAAGCUGGGGGCACGAACCGGAUUAGAUACCCGGGUAGUCCCAGCCGUAAACGAUGCUCGCUAGGUGUCAGGCAUGGCGCGACCGUGUCUGGUGCCGCAGGGAAGCCGUGAAGCGAGCCACCUGGGAAGUACGGCCGCAAGGCUGAAACUUAAAGGAAUUGGCGGGGGAGCAC